AUUGAACGCUGGCGGCAGGCCUAACACAUGCAAGUCGAACGGUAACAGGAAGAAGCUUGCUUCUUUGCUGACGAGUGGCGGACGGGUGAGUAAUGUCUGGGAAACUGCCUGAUGGAGGGGGAUAACUACUGGAAACGGUAGCUAAUACCGCAUAAUGUCGCAAGACCAAAGAGGGGGACCUCCGGGCCUCUUGCCAUCGGAUGUGCCCAGAUGGGAUUAGCUAGUAGGUGGGGUAACGGCUCACCUAGGCGACGAUCCCUAGCUGGUCUGAGAGGAUGACCAGCCACACUGGAACUGAGACACGGUCCAGACUCCUACGGGAGGCAGCAGUGGGGAAUAUUGCACAAUGGGCGCAAGCCUGAUGCAGCUAUGCCGCGUGUAUGAAGAAGGCCUUCGGGUUGUAAAGUACUUUCAGCGGGGAGGAAGGGAGUAAAGUUAAUACCUUUGCUCAUUGACGUUACCCGCAGAAGAAGCACCGGCUAACUCCGUG
This 490-nucleotide ribosomal RNA is filed under the name uncultured bacterium. Its description in RNAcentral is "partial 16S ribosomal RNA". It matches the Rfam family "Bacterial small subunit ribosomal RNA", at positions 30 to 507 of the family's 1533-position model. The record is from RNAcentral.